Mauremys mutica (yellowpond turtle) is the source of this 356-nucleotide long non-coding RNA. RefSeq lists it as uncharacterized. Lineage: Eukaryota; Metazoa; Chordata; Testudines; Geoemydidae. The transcript is spliced from 4 exons. The record is from RefSeq and is a predicted model, not a curated record.
UCUGAUGAAGAAACAUCUGUGACUUCUUUUUACCAGGGAUGAGUAAAUAGAUUCAGACACAGCAAAUACUUUUGCCCAUCACCUGAACGGAAUCCAACCCUUUGUUGAGGUGAAAGUCAAUGGACCUGAUUCUCCAUUGCAAAGUGAGUGAGAAGAGGAUGUUGAAUUCCACUAAAUCAGAAUGGGUUUAUAUUACCACUGCAACACAUGUGAUUUAAAGGAUUUCUAGAGUUCCAGGCUGAGAUCCUCAGUGUGUCUUUGAGAGUAGACUCCAGCAGCAAGUAAGGUCAUCAAAACUCAGGACAGUGGAUUAACUACUAAUAAAGUGACAUGUACUGCAUGGAACUGUGGGAAGC